This is a long non-coding RNA of Canis lupus familiaris (dog), 2493 nucleotides long. RefSeq lists it as uncharacterized. The record is from RefSeq and is a predicted model, not a curated record. The transcript is spliced from 3 exons. NCBI's taxonomy places the organism in Eukaryota, Metazoa, Chordata, Mammalia, Carnivora, Canidae.
CCAUGGCAUGUCAUUGAUUUUAAAAUUCACCCUGAUUCCAGAAAUGUUAUAACAGGAAUCUUAGGAUCAAUGAAAUCCAAUAACUAAUUCUCAGUUGCCUUCCUUGCUUUACAGAUGGGUUAACUGAGGAACAGAGAGGUUGAGUCAACUUGCUCCAAUGUCACAUAGCAAGUAUAUGGUGGAAAUGAGAUUUCCAGAGUCAGGUUCAUAACCCCUGUGAUAUAUUGCAUCUGCGGAAGUAAUAUCUGUCCAUGGGCCGAUAGAGGGAAGGACACAAAAAGAGAGGGGAAAAAGAGGACCCUGCCCUCUACUCCUUCCUCAUCACUGCCCGGGUCAGUGCUGAUGUCUCCUUUAAAAACUUCUUCUAGAUCUUGCUCCUCCUCUCAUUCUCCACAGCUAGCAUCCUGGCUUUGUCCUUCCUCACCUCUCUCUUGCUCCUGCUUGGACUAUUGCAGUAGCCUGUAAGCUGCCAUCCUCCUCCAACUCCUCCCACCCCCAACACAAACUGAGUCAGUGUCAUCUUCCAAAAAUGUGAAUCUGUUCUUGUCACUCUAUUCCAAAACGUCUAAGGGAUCCAGAUCCUGGUUUGCAUUUGUUCAUUCACUCUUCUGUUUCAUCACCUACUCUGUUGGGCUCAGAGGAUAUAAAGGUGAGCAAACCCCAGUAUGGUCCACGGCCUUGGAGAAGCAAGAUCUCUCAGUGGUCAGAUAUGACCCAGUGUGAAAAUGUGCUGGGCCCAUGGGAGGCACAUCUACUCUGGGUCUCAGGGACCAGUUGGUGGAGGAUGAGUGGGAGUUCACCAGGCAAAGGAUGGCAAGGAUUCCCAGGGAGAGAGAACAGCAUGUGCAAAGGCCCAGAGGUGAGAGAGAGGUUGUAGCAGAGUGUCAGAUGGGCUAUGUUCCAGAUUAAUCUAGAAAGACAGGUUUUUGAGGUGGACAGCUGGGCAAGGCUGGCCUCCCCUUUCUUUUUUGGCCUCUACUCCCUUUUCUUCCUUUCCCCACAAUAUCCCUCUGCAGGGAUAAAUGCCUAUUUAUUUCCCAAACAGACAUCUCCCUCUUCACACAUCCUCCACAGGCAGCAACCCUCAGCUCAGCAAACUCAUCCUUCUAGACCUUUCCCAGUGAAAAUACUUCUGACCUUUCACUUAGCUCUCUGAGCUCAGAGUUCUGAGCCAGGCAGGAGAAGCCUGGGGAGUUGGUCUUGGGUUCGACUGGCAGGGGGGUGAGGGUGGGGGGUUGGAGCAUUUUUACAGCAUUCAGUUGAGUAAAAGCUGAAGUUCUUAUAAAGGCCUACAAAACCCUGCACAGUCUAAACCAGUGCUUCCCUCUGACCUCAUCUUCCACUGCUCUCCCCUUGGCCAACUGCUUCAGCAACACUGGUCUCUCUGCUGUUCUUUCAGUAGGCCCCCCACCCCCACAUUCCUACCACAGGUCCUUUGCACUUGCUGUUCUGGUAUACCUUUCUUAUCUUCACCUUCAUCUGAUUUUGCUAGAAUAUCAUCACCUUCUCAGAGAAGUCCCCCAGGACCCCUUAUGUAAAACUGCAACCUCUAUUUCACACUCUUCCUUGCUUCUUCUUCUCCCUAGAACUCACCAUCUUCAAGAGCUUGUGUGAUUCACUUAUUUAUUUGUUUACUGUCUGUCUUUCCCCACAAGACUGUGGAUUCCAGGAGGGUCAAGGAUUUGGGUCUGUCUGGUUCACUCCAUAUCCCCAGCACCCAGCACCCUGUCUGGCAUACAGUAGGUGCUCAAUUAAUGUCUGACGGUUGAAUGAGUAAAUUCUGAGCUCUGUGUGACAGGCAGGCUCUGCCCCAGGUGCCAUGGAGGACAGCGGCCGGAAGGAACAAGGUCUCUGCCCUUGCGAGGACGCUGGCCGAGCUGGUUCUGGCGGGCAGUGGGACAGGUCCCUGACAGCCAGCCCUGUGAUGCUGGCAGCACGGGCACCAUCCUGCCCAUUUCACGGAUGACAAAACCCAGGUCCAAAGAGGGGAAGUGACUUGCCCAAGGCCUCAGUGAUGGUUUUCUGUUGAUUAGGAAUUUGAGAAGGAAUGAGCUGGAUGAUUCUCACACGGGGUCUCUCAUGAGGCUGCAGUCAGAUGCUGGGGCUGCUGUCAUCUGAAGACUCAACUGGGAUGGGAGGAUCUACUGCUAAGGUUACUCACUCAGGUAACUGGCAAGGUGGUGCUGGAUGAAGGCUAGCAGCUUCAGUUCCUCUCUACAUGGACCUUUGUAAGGAGCUGCAUGUGUGUCCUCCUGACAAGGAGGCUGACUUUUCAAUGUGAGUUUAUCUAAGAAGCCUAGAUGGAAGCUACAAUGCCUUUUAUAACCUAGCCUUGGAAGUCACACACCUUCAUUUCCACUAGAUUCUACUGGUCGUAGCAACUAUGUAGAUUUGUAUUCAAGGGGAGGGAGUAGACCCUGCCCUUCAGUAGAGGAGUGCUAACAUCACAUUGUAAAAAGAGCAUGAAAAAAAAAUAAAAAUAAAUAAAAAUAA